AGAGUUUGAUUAUGGCUCAGGAUGAACGCUGGCGGUGUGCCUAAUACAUGCAAGUCGAUCGGGCGUAGCAAUACGUCAGAGGCGUACGGGUGAGUAACACGUAGGUAACCUACCUUAAGGACUGGGAUACCCAGACGAAAGUUUGGCUAAUACCGGAUAACAACAUUUGAGACAUCUCUUUUGUUUGAAAGGCGCUGCAAGGCGCCACUUUUAGAUGGACCUGCGUCGCAUUAGCUAGUUGGUGAGAUAAAAGCCCACCAAGGCUGGGAUGCGUAGCCGAUCUGAGAGGAUGACCGGCCACAAUGGGACUGAGACACGGCCCGUACUCCUACGGGAGGCAGCAGUAGGGAGUUUUCGGCAAUGGGGGAAACCCUGACCGAGCAACACCGCGUGAGUGAUGAAAGGUCUUCGGAUCGUAAAGCUCUGUUACGAGGGACGAAUGAUCGCUUUAGGAAAUGAGAGCGGUUUGACGGUACCUCGCCAGAAAGCGACGGCUAACUACGUGCCAGCCGCAGC
Molecule: ribosomal RNA, 516 nt
Filed under: uncultured bacterium
Lineage: Bacteria
Description: bacterial SSU rRNA
Rfam family: Bacterial small subunit ribosomal RNA
Source: RNAcentral